Vicia villosa (hairy vetch) is the source of this 812-nucleotide long non-coding RNA. RefSeq lists it as uncharacterized. The transcript has 2 exons. The record is from RefSeq and is a predicted model, not a curated record. Lineage: Eukaryota; Viridiplantae; Streptophyta; Magnoliopsida; Fabales; Fabaceae.
GAUGAGGCGAAUAUGAUGAUGCUGUUUGAAGGAAUUUGUUGAAGAUGAACGAAUGGAAUUGGUGGAUGGGAGCGUUUCUUUGGGAGAUUGAAGGUGAAGAGUAAGAGUGACGCCGAUGGUUGUGAUGCUGAGAUGAACGUUGGAUGAGGCUCGUUCUUGGAGAAUUUGCAGUGAUGUCGAGGCGAUACGAAAGCGAAGUUGUGAGGAAGAUUGAGGUUUGCGGACUUAUGUAUGGAUUGACGAUGAUGAAAUCUUCAGGUGUUGACCCUUUUCUUCUCCUUCUUCAAUUUUCUUCUUCAAUUCUGUUAUGUGUGGAUUUAGGAUUUGGCUUGUGAUAGUGAUGAUGGUGAGGUGCAGGUUUGGAGUUAAUUCGAUGAAGAUGAAGGUUGAGGUUGCAGAGUUUGAAGAUGGGUGAGUAUGGAAGAGAGUGAAAGCGUGGAGUUUGUGAUGUGGAACUGAGAGAAUGAAUGGAGUGAAAAUGGUGGAGACGCUCAAGAAUGAUUGAAGUCUCUGUUAUAUAGGGAUGAAAGGUACAGGCUCAGUUUUGAAGAUGGAAUAUGGGGCUGAAGUGAAUUUAUCAUGCAGCGGGCUCGGUUCGACUUCAAGUGCAGGCUGCAGAGCAUGAAGAAAAAGGAAGAGGAACUUGGGAUUAGUUUUAGGUUUAGAAGUGAGCAUAUGAUGUUUCUUUUUUCUUUCUGUUCCAUGUUCCAAAAGUAGACAAACAGUAGGGUAUUGGUAUGGUUUGUAAAUAAUGGAUUUCAUUUGUAAAUUUGAACUUGAAUGAAUAUAUUUGGAAUAAUGUUGGUUUUGAA